This 835-nucleotide long non-coding RNA is filed under the name Homo sapiens (human). Its description in RNAcentral is "non-protein coding lnc-DCDC1-2:3". The record is from RNAcentral. Lineage: Eukaryota; Metazoa; Chordata; Mammalia; Primates; Hominidae.
GAUGAUCUUGAUUGUGUCAUGGUCAACCCAGAAUUAUGACAGUCUGGGAAGAUUAGGAGGAGAAUAAACUGCUACUUAAACCUUUUCUCAGCAGCAUUGGAAAGCAUGUGUUUCCAGCAAUAACUCCUGGGAACUAUUUGGACCCCGUGGUUUAAUGGAUGGGGCUUUAACCUACCCAGAGGUCAGUCUCUGCUGGACAAGUGGAACCUCAUCCCUGAGGGCAUUGACAUACUCAUGACACAUGGACCUCCUCUAGGUUUUCGAGACUGGGUUCCAAAGGAGCUUCAAAGAGUGGGCUGUGUGGAGCUGUUAAACACGGUUCAGAGGCGAGUCCGGCCCAAGCUCCAUGUGUUUGGUGGAAUCCAUGAAGGUUAUGGCAUCAUGACCGACGGUUACACAACGUACAUCAAUGCCUCGACGUGUACAGUCAGCUUUCAACCGACCAACCCUCCAAUUAUAUUUGACCUUCCAAACCCACAGGGUUCCUGAAGCUCUAAAUGCCCUAUUGGAAUGUGAGGGAAGGUCUAUAAACUGCCAUUUUUCUAAUUAUAAACUUACAUUCUCUUACUUAUUUACAAACCCUGUGAGUUCUUUUUGUAAAUUGUUGGAACACAAAUGAUGCUAGAGGUUGUGCUUCUUAUUUUAUUUUAUUUUAAAUGGGGCAUCCAUUUGAAAUCAGAGGAACAUUGUGAAUUUGUAAAAUGACUUCUGUUUUCUCAAAGGCCAUGCCAUUGUAAAUUGUUAGUGUUCGCCAAAGGACAGCCAAGCUUUCUUUUAAAAAGUGAUAAAAGUCUUAUUUUAAUAUGCUUUAAGCUGAAAGAAAAAAAAAUAAGAA